Molecule: long non-coding RNA, 1159 nt
Organism: Passer domesticus (house sparrow)
Lineage: Eukaryota; Metazoa; Chordata; Aves; Passeriformes; Passeridae
Exons: 4
Source: RefSeq, a predicted model, not a curated record
CAAGGGAAGGGACUUGCUUGGCCAGCCCCAGGCAGACACAGACACAAGACUGGAGCAUUCAGAGUAGUACAGCCCCCUCUCUAACCUUAAACAGAAGUGAAUGAUCAGAGAGGAGAUAAAAAUGGCACCUCUUUAAUCCUCUUGGGUGCAGUUUACCCAACAACUGGAUUACCCCUGCUUACCUUCCUUGGAAAACACUCCCUCACACAAACCCAGCUCUGUUCAGCAGGAGAGCAGCAGUGAUGGAAACCUCGUGGUAGCUGGGAGGUCACAAAGCCCUGUGGAGCCCAGGAUCUUUUCAGCAGCCUGAAGUUAUGAGUCUCCACUCUUGACAGCUCCUUGGAUUCCACAGCGAGCACACCCUUCCCAGAGAAACAAACGCACUGUUUGGUCAACAGUGAAAUUGUUUAGUGGAGAGAAACCAACUCCGAUAAACGCUGCCAGCUCUGCCUGCCCUGGAGCACAGAAACCAAAAUAGAAAACAUGAAGCAAGGGAUACCACCCACUGCUGAAGAAGCCAAACCAGACAGAUGAGCCAACAAUGCGUGACAAAUGCUGCCUUUAUUGGAAAAGCACAAACAAUGGUCUGGCUGCCUCCCCAGAGCCAAGUUUCAGUGUCAGGGAGAGGAGUAAGAGGAGGAUCCCAUUUAAAAGGCGCCAGAACAGAAGUCUUAGGACAUAGUUUGUCUUCAUGCAGAAGGAUGGAGGAGACCUCACUGACCUGUUGCUCUCCUCUUGAUCUACAGAAGGACAGUGGUUUGGACAGUAUUUUUUUCUGAACAUGUUGCUUCCUUCACUGACAGUUGCACCUGAAUGAGCCAAGAAACCUCCCCCACUGCAGCCUCAAAAAGACAAAGUUUAUGGCCUCUUCCCUGUUGAAAUGGAGAAGAAACAGAUCAUUUUCCUGCACAACACACUAAUAAAACCUUUCCAGAAUCUGUCUGCUGGUGCCAAGGCAGCUCCUGCUCCUCCAAGCCAAAUUCCUGGAUUACACCAGGUGCAAGUCCCCUCCCACCUGGUAGCAGAGAAAUUACAGGUGGUUCCAAGAACCCAGGACAAACCCCAGUGAGCUUUCGAGAUCUCAGUGUUGUGAAACAGAACUUGAAAUAUUUCCCUGCAGCAAGAGUGGGACACAGAACCUCUGGAGCCUGUAGAUCAC